This 464-nucleotide ribosomal RNA is filed under the name uncultured bacterium. Its description in RNAcentral is "partial 16S ribosomal RNA". It matches the Rfam family "Bacterial small subunit ribosomal RNA", at positions 339 to 795 of the family's 1533-position model. The record is from RNAcentral.
CUACGGGUCGCUCCAGUGAGGAAUUUUGCGCAAUGGGGGAAACCCUGACGCAGCAACGCCGCGUGAGUGAUGAAGAUCUUCGGAUCGUAAAGCUCUGUCAAGUGGGAAAAAUUCCUUUUGGUUAAUACCCGAAAGGACUGAUGGUACCACUGGAGGAAGCACCGGCUAACUCCGUGCCAGCAGCCGCGGUAAUACGGAGGGUGCAAGCGUUGGUCGGAAUUACUGGGCGUAAAGAGCGUGUAGGCGGUUUGGGAAGUCAGAUGUGAAAGCCCUGGGCUCAACCCAGGAAGUGCAUUUGAAACUUCCAAGCUAGAGUAUGGGAGAGGAGAGUGGAAUUCCCAGUGUAGAGGUGAAAUUCGUAGAUAUUGGGAGGAACAUCGGUGGCGAAGGCGACUCUCUGGAACAAUACUGACGCUGAGACGCGAAAGCGUGGGGAGCAAACAGGAUUAGAUACCCUCGUAGUC